GGCCUGAUGGUCUAGCGGUAUGAUUCUUGCUUCGGGAGUGACAUCUCAGUCUUAUAAAGAGACUAUAGUUUGCGAGAGGUCCCGGGUUCAAUCCCCGGUCAGGCCC
RNAcentral lists this transfer RNA (106 nucleotides) under Fusarium pseudograminearum. RNAcentral describes it as "tRNA-Pro". It matches the Rfam family "tRNA". Rfam says of the family: Transfer RNA (tRNA) molecules are approximately 80 nucleotides in length. Their secondary structure includes four short double-helical elements and three loops (D, anti-codon, and T loops). Further hydrogen bonds mediate the characteristic L-shaped molecular structure. tRNAs have two regions of fundamental functional importance: the anti-codon, which is responsible for specific mRNA codon recognition, and the 3' end, to which the tRNAs corresponding amino acid is attached (by aminoacyl-tRNA synthetases). tRNAs cope with the degeneracy of the genetic code in two manners: having more than one tRNA (with a specific anti-codon) for a particular amino acid; and 'wobble' base-pairing, i.e. permitting non-standard base-pairing at the 3rd anti-codon position. Lineage: Eukaryota; Fungi; Ascomycota; Sordariomycetes; Hypocreales; Nectriaceae. The record is from RNAcentral.